CCUACGGGAGGCAGCAGUGGGGGAUAUUGCACAAUGGGGGAAACCCUGAUGCAGCGACGCCGCGUGUGGGAAGACGGUCCUCUGGAUUGUAAACCACUGUCCCCAGGGACGAAGAUGACGGUACCUGGGGAGGAAGCUCCGGCAAACUACGGGCCAGCAGCCGCGGUAAUACGUAGGGAGCGAGCGUUGGCCGGAAUUACUGGGUGUAAGGGGAGCGUAGGGGGUACUGCAAGUUGGGUGUCAAAUCUACCGGCUCAACCGGUAGCCGCACUCAAAACUGCAGUUCUUGAGUGAAGUAGAGGGAGGCGGAAUUCCUGGUGUAGCGGUGAAAUGCGUAGAUAUUAGGAGGAAAACCAGGGGCGAAGGCGGCCUGCUGGGCUUUUACUGAGGCUGAGGCUCGAAAGUGUGGGGAGCAAACAGGAUUAGAUACCCUGUAGUC
Molecule: ribosomal RNA, 439 nt
Filed under: uncultured bacterium
Lineage: Bacteria
Description: partial 16S ribosomal RNA
Rfam family: Bacterial small subunit ribosomal RNA
Source: RNAcentral